CCCUUAGAUGUUCUGGGCUGCACGCGCGCUACACUGACACACGCAACGAGUCUCCUGCCCUGACAGGGUCGGGUAAUCAUUUGAGUGUGUGUCGUGAUGGGGAUAGAAUAUUGCAAUUAUUGCUCUUGAACGAGGAAUUCCUAGUAAGCACAAGUCAGCAGCUUGUGCUGAUUACGUCCCUGCCCUUUGUACACACCGCCCGUCGCUCCUACCGAGGGGGUGAUCCGGUGAAUGAUUCGGACUCUGGUGCUUCUAGCUGCUAGAUGCGCCGGAGGAAGUUUUGUGAACCUUAUCACUUGGAGGAAGGAGAAGUCGUAACA
Molecule: ribosomal RNA, 320 nt
Filed under: uncultured eukaryote
Lineage: Eukaryota
Description: partial 18S ribosomal RNA
Rfam family: Eukaryotic small subunit ribosomal RNA
Source: RNAcentral